UACGUAGGGUGCGAGCGUUGUCCGGAAUUACUGGGCGUAAAGAGCUCGUAGGCGGUUUGUCACGUCGUCUGUGAAAUCCUGCAACUCAAUUGUAGGCGUGCAGGCGAUACGGGCAGACUUGAGUACUACAGGGGAGACUGGAAUUCCUGGUGUAGCGGUGAAAUGCGCAGAUAUCAGGAGGAACACCGGUGGCGAAGGCGGGUCUCUGGGUAGUAACUGACGCUGAGGAGCGAAAGCGUGGGGAGCGAACAGG
RNAcentral lists this ribosomal RNA (253 nucleotides) under uncultured bacterium. RNAcentral's name for it is "partial 16S ribosomal RNA". It matches the Rfam family "Bacterial small subunit ribosomal RNA", at positions 524 to 776 of the family's 1533-position model. The record is from RNAcentral.